Molecule: ribosomal RNA, 429 nt
Filed under: Actinomycetes bacterium
Lineage: Bacteria; Bacillati; Actinomycetota; Actinomycetes
Description: Actinobacteria bacterium partial 16S ribosomal RNA
Rfam family: Bacterial small subunit ribosomal RNA
Source: RNAcentral
UAGGGAAUCUUCCGCAAUGGGCGAAAGCCUGACGGAGCAACGCCGCGUGAGUGAUGAAGGUCUUCGGAUCGUAAAACUCUGAUAUUAGGGAAGAACAAAUGUGUAAGUAACUAUGCACGUCUUGACGGUACCUAAUCAGAAAGCCACGGCUAACUACGUGCCAGCAGCCGCGGUAAUACGUAGGUGGCAAGCGUUAUCCGGAAUUAUUGGGCGUAAAGCGCGCGUAGGCGGUUUUUUAAGUCUGAUGUGAAAGCCCACGGCUCAACCGUGGAGGGUCAUUGGAAACUGGAAAACUUGAGUGCAGAAGAGGAAAGGGGAAUUCCAUGUGUAGCGGUGAAAUGCGCAGGGAUAUGGAGGAACACCAGUGGCGAAGGCGACUUUCUGGUCUGUAACUGACGCUGAUGUGCGAAAGCGUGGGGAUCAAACAGG